Molecule: non-coding RNA, 102 nt
Organism: Ornithorhynchus anatinus (platypus)
Lineage: Eukaryota; Metazoa; Chordata; Mammalia; Monotremata; Ornithorhynchidae
Gene: MIR1A
Product: microRNA mir-1a
Exons: 1
Source: RefSeq, marked provisional
GGGAUGUACACCUGCUCAGAGUACAUACUUCUUUAUGUACCCAUAUGAACAUAAAAAGCUAUGGAAUGUAAAGAAGUAUGUAUUUUUGGCAGGCGCCGACCC